Molecule: ribosomal RNA, 253 nt
Filed under: uncultured bacterium
Lineage: Bacteria
Description: partial 16S ribosomal RNA
Rfam family: Bacterial small subunit ribosomal RNA
Source: RNAcentral
UACGAAGGGGGCUAGCGUUGUUCGGAAUUACUGGGCGUAAAGGGCGCGUAGGCGGUGCCUCAAGUCAGACGUGAAAGCCCCGGGCUCAACCUGGGAACCGCGCUUGAGACUGGAGUACUAGAGUUCGGGAGAGGAUGGUGGAAUUCCCAGUGUAGAGGUGAAAUUCGUAGAUAUUGGGAAGAACACCGAUGGCGAAGGCAGCCAUCUGGACCGACACUGACGCUGAGGCGCGAAAGCGUGGGGAGCAAACAGG